Long non-coding RNA from Herpailurus yagouaroundi (jaguarundi), 259 nucleotides. RefSeq lists it as uncharacterized. Lineage: Eukaryota; Metazoa; Chordata; Mammalia; Carnivora; Felidae. The transcript has 2 exons. The record is from RefSeq and is a predicted model, not a curated record.
UGAUUUUAAAAGUUAGUAAAAUGUUGGUUUGGAUAGUCACCCCGUAUGUGUCUUAAGUAGUAAAACAAAGCCCAUGGAGUGUCUGAUGAGGUGCUUUAAAGUGGGGAGAUCCCGUGUGCCUUCACUUCCCCCGACACUACAGUGUGCCUGCCCUACACGGGGAGCUCACGACAGCUGUUUCCUUAUGUCACAUAGAGUGGGUCAGGAAGGGAAGAUGUGUGUGCGCUUGAUGAUCGAUUUCCCCCAAAAAUAAAAAAAA